Molecule: long non-coding RNA, 758 nt
Organism: Musca domestica (house fly)
Lineage: Eukaryota; Metazoa; Arthropoda; Insecta; Diptera; Muscidae
Exons: 3
Source: RefSeq, a predicted model, not a curated record
AAAAGAACUCCUCCGGAAAGCUUUAUUCAAAAUAUGUCAAUACAAGAGUAAAGAAAAGAAAAACUGAGGGCACUCCUUUUAAUACUCCCGCAGAGGUUACUAAAGAGUCAUCACAAAAUAUACAAGAAGAAUUUUGUGAAAUAUAUGAUUCAGCACUUAAAGCAUCGCUAAGCCGAGAUACGUCGAAUUGGUGUGAUGUUAAGGAGAAGUGGCAAAAACAUUCAGUUUACGGCGCAAAGAGCUGAAGACGCUAAACAGUAAUGACUUUUUAAAAGCUUGGCCUAUAUAUACUGAUGCCAGAAGCCCAGACUUGAUUUUAACAAACUAUAUCCAAAAAAAGAACAUAUGCUGUAUUCUAAAUGGGACAAUUUUAAGGAAAAAAUACAAAAAUUUUACGCAACUGAACUGCGCAACGACUAUUGCAAGGAACUUUUCGGUAUUGCUAAAUUCACGCAAAAUAAGGAUGCUUGAUUUUAUCAUUGCAUCUUUGCUAAACGGAGUAUUGCCUUGUCCAGCAUGAUCCAAAAAUAGUUCCGGCAAAUGUUGCAGAAAACCUACUAUUGCAGAUGCUCAGGAAAGUUUCGCAGUACGUUUAUUAUGCAUCAACGAUUACGAGAACACAAUUGAAGAGCUUAUAGCAAAAUACAACUCUGCUGGACUAUCUGUGCAGCCAUUCUUGCUAUUAGAAGGACAUUCUGAUGGAGAGGUAAAAGGGUUUUAUAUAUACUUUGACAAAACGUUGUAUAAGUUUCCAACAU